UAACCUUUGGAAUAGAAAUAAUAGGAUUAAAAUCAACUGGUAUAAAUACAGAUGUAACAAGACAAUAAAACACAGAACUUGGAACCUUCUCCAGAAGAGUGUCUUGGGAACUCGCCUGGCUGGGGAGACUUCUGGAAGAGACUGCAACCACACAUCAAGGUUUGAGCCUUGAGCUGACCUCUUCCUAUUUUUCCUGCUACGGAAAGCCCUGGAUCUGCUCCUUAGGUGAGUGCACGAUUGCCCGUUUGCACUAUUCUAAAGAGAAACAGCGGCCCCAGAGAAGAACGAGAGGGCGAGUGAGCGAGCAAGAGCGGCGCUCCCGGGCCGGCCUGGCCCCCUCUCCUCACCAUCGCCGGCCCUCUGCCGCCUUUCUCCGCUUCCACCUUUUCUCCUCUCCCCCGCAAGUGGAGGCCCUCCGGUGCGGGGAGGACCCAGAGUAAAUUCCCCCAACUCCUUCACCCUCUACCUGCACCUGGCCACCGUGUGAGGAGAAGGCCUGGCCUUGCCCCGCCCGCGUCGUGUGUGAGGCUCAGCUGCCACUGCCGCUGCCGCCGUGAUGGCCAGCUCCCAGAAGGCCCUGAUGCUGGAGCUCAAGUCCCUGCAGGAGGAGCCGGUGGAGGGCUCCCGGAUCACCCUGGUGGAUGAGUCCGACCUCUACAACUGGGAGGUUGCCAUCUUCGGACCCCCCAACACCCUCUACGAAGGCGGCUACUUCAAGGCGCAUAUUAAAUUUCCUAUUGACUACCCAUAUUCACCACCUACCUUCAGAUUCUUGACCAAAAUGUGGCACCCCAACAUUUAUGAGAGUGGACAUGUAUGCAUUUCAAUUCUUCAUCCACCCGUAGAUGCCCCACAGAGUGGUCAACUGAACUCCGAAAGGUGGAAUCCUACUCAGAAUGUCAGGACUAUCCUGCUAAGUGUAAUCUCAUUGCUUAAUGAGCCCAACAUCUUCUCCGCAGCCAAUGCGGAUGCUUCAGUUAUGUUCAGGAAAUGGAGGGACAGUAAAGGAAAAGACAAAGAAUAUACUGAAAUCAUUAGAAAACAGGUUUCAGCCACUAAAGCCGAAGCAGAAAAGGAUGGAGUGAAAGUCCCCACGACCCUGGCGGAAUAUUGCAUCAAAACUAAAGUGCCUUCCAAUGACAACAGCUCAGAUUGGCUUUAUGACGACUUGUACGACCUUGACAUUGAGGAUGAAGAGGAGGAGGAGGAAGAUGCCGACUGUGAUGACCAUGAUGAUUCUGGGAAUGAGGAGUCGUGACCUGCUCCUUCGAAGCCCCUGUACUGCCCUGCCAUCUCAGGCCAAAGGGAGGGGAGCAAGUGGGGACCUAGCAGUGGCCCCUCAGCAAAACCCUUCACAGGGGGUGGGGAAAACAAACAUGGCUUCUGCUGACUCCCCUCACGGAUCUCAGUUGGCUCCUUUUUAUGGACCUCUUAAUGGAGAGAAGGUAAUUGUGAACGAAAGGGGCCACAUGCUGACCUGACAAGCUCAGGGGAGGCCUGCAUGGCAGUCUUACAAACUCAGAGACUUAAAGUAACCACAGAGGAUGGUCUGAAAUUAAACUUUAA
RNA transcript from Myotis lucifugus (little brown bat), 1566 nucleotides. It is a transcript of the gene named ubiquitin-conjugating enzyme E2 R2 pseudogene, with no coding region annotated. NCBI's taxonomy places the organism in Eukaryota, Metazoa, Chordata, Mammalia, Chiroptera, Vespertilionidae. The record is from RefSeq and is a predicted model, not a curated record. The transcript has a single exon.